RNAcentral lists this microRNA (19 nucleotides) under Homo sapiens (human). Its description in RNAcentral is "hsa-miR-4330". The record is from miRBase by way of RNAcentral. Lineage: Eukaryota; Metazoa; Chordata; Mammalia; Primates; Hominidae.
CCUCAGAUCAGAGCCUUGC